This 948-nucleotide ribosomal RNA is filed under the name Phyllactinia obclavata. RNAcentral describes it as "eukaryotic LSU rRNA". It matches the Rfam family "Eukaryotic large subunit ribosomal RNA", at positions 1 to 980 of the family's 3401-position model. Lineage: Eukaryota; Fungi; Ascomycota; Leotiomycetes; Helotiales; Erysiphaceae. The record is from RNAcentral.
UUGACCUCGAAUCAGGUAGGAAGACCCGCUGAACUUAAGCAUAUCAAUAAGCGGAGUAGUAACGGCGAGUGAAGCGGUAAUAGCUCAAAUUUGAAAUCUGGCUCCCCACGGAGUCCGAGUUGUAAUUUGUAGAAGAUGCUUUGGAUGUGCGGUCCGGUCUAAGUUCCUUGGAACAGGACGUCGUAGAGGGUGAGAGCCCCGUGUGCGGCCGGGACGCACGUCCGUGUAAAGCUCUUUCGACGAGUCGAGUUGUUUGGGAAUGCAGCUCAAAAUGGGUGGUAAAUUUCAUCUAAAGCUAAAUAUGGGCCAGAGACCGAUAGCGCACAAGUAGAGUGAUCGAAAGAUGAAAAGUACUUUGGAAAGAGAGUUAAACAGUACGUGAAAUUGUUGAAAGGGAAGCGCUUGCAACCAGACUUGGGCGUCGCCGAUCAUCCAAAGUUUUCUUUGGUGCACUCGGCGAGGGCACAGGCCAGCAUCGGUUGGGGUGGUGGGAGAAAGAUCGUAGGAAUGUAGCUCCUUUCGGGGAGUGUUAUAGCCUACGGUGCAAUACCGCCUACGCCGACCGAGGACCGCGCUUCGGCUAGGAUGCUGGCGUAAUGGUUGUAAGCGACCCGUCUUGAAACACGGACCAAGGAGUCUAACAGCUAUGCGAGUGUUUGGGUGCAAAACCCAUCCGCGCAAUGAAAGUGAACGCAGGUGAGAACCCUUCUCUUGGGGAGGGGGCAUCAUCGACCGAUCCUGAUGUCUUCGGAUGGAUUUGAGUAUGAGCAUGGCUGUUGGGACCCGAAAGAUGGUGAACUAUGCCUGAAUAGGGUGAAGCCAGAGGAAACUCUGGUGGAGGCUCGCAGCGGUUCUGACGUGCAAAUCGAUCGUCAAAUUUGGGUAUAGGGGCGAAAGACUAAUCGAACCAUCUAGUAGCUGGUUCCUGCCGAAGUUUCCCUCACAAUG